UAAGCGACUAAGCGUACACGGUGGAUGCCCUGGCAGUCAGAGGCGAUGAAGGACGUGCUAAUCUGCGAAAAGCGUCGGUAAGGUGAUAUGAACCGUUACAGCCGGCGAUGUCCGAAUGGGGAAACCCAGUGCAAUUCGUUGCACUAUCGUUAACUGAAUACAUAGGUUAACGAGGCGAACCGGGGGAACUGAAACAUCUAAGUACCCCGAGGAAAAGAAAUCAACCGAGAUUCCCCCAGUAGCGGCGAGCGAACGGGGAGCAGCCCAGAGUCUGAAUCAGCUUGUGUGUUAGUGGAACGGUCUGGAAAGUCCGACGGUACAGGGUGAUAGUCCCGUACACCAAAAUGCACAGGUUGUGAACUCGAAGAGUAGGGCGGGACACGUGGUAUCCUGUCUGAAUAUGGGGGGACCAUCCUCCAAGGCUAAAUACUCCUGACUGACCGAUAGUGAACCAGUACCGUGAGGGAAAGGCGAAAAGAACCCCGGCGAGGGGAGUGAAAAAGAACCUGAAACCGUGUACGUACAAGCAGUGGGAGCACCUUCGGGUGUGACUGCGUACCUUUUGUAUAAUGGGUCAGCGACUUAUAUUCUGUAGCAAGGUUAACCGUAUAGGGGAGCCGCAGGGAAACCGAGUCUUAACUGGGCGUUAAGUUGCAGGGUAUAGACCCGAAACCCGGUGAUCUAGCCAUGGGCAGGUUGAAGGUUGGGUAACACUAACUGGAGGACCGAACCGACUAAUGUUGAAAAAUUAGCGGAUGACUUGUGGCUGGGGGUGAAAGGCCAAUCAAACCGGGAGAUAGCUGGUUCUCCCCGAAAGCUAUUUAGGUAGCGCCUCGUGAACUCAUCUUCGGGGGUAGAGCACUGUUUCGGCUAGGGGGUCAUCCCGACUUACCAACCCGAUGCAAACUACGAAUACCGAAGAAUGUUAUCACGGGAGACACACGGCGGGUGCUAACGUCCGUCGUGAAGAGGGAAACAACCCAGACCGCCAGCUAAGGUCCCAAAGUCACAGUUAAGUGGGAAACGAUGUGGGAAGGCACAGACAGCCAGGAUGUUGGCUUAGAAGCAGCCAUCAUUUAAAGAAAGCGUAAUAGCUCACUGGUCGAGUCGGCCUGCGCGGAAGAUGUAACGGGGCUAAACUGUGCACCGAAGCUGCGGCAGCGACACGAUGUGUUGUUGGGUAGGGGAGCGUUCUGUAAGCCUGCGAAGGUGGCCUGUGAGGGUUGCUGGAGGUAUCAGAAGUGCGAAUGCUGACAUAAGUAACGAUAAUGCGGGUGAAAAGCCCGCACGCCGGAAGACCAAGGGUUCCUGUCCAACGUUAAUCGGGGCAGGGUGAGUCGACCCCUAAGGCGAGGCCGAAAGGCGUAGUCGAUGGGAAACAGGUUAAUAUUCCUGUACUUGGUGUUACUGCGAAGGGGGGACGGAGAAGGCUAUGUUAGCCGGGCGACGGUUGUCCCGGUUUAAGCAUGUAGGCGGAGGUUCCAGGUAAAUCCGGUACCUUUUUAACGCUGAGGUGUGAUGACGAGGCACUACGGUGCUGAAGUAACAAAUGCCCUGCUUCCAGGAAAAGCCUCUAAGCAUCAGGUAACAUUAAAUCGUACCCCAAACCGACACAGGUGGUCAGGUAGAGAAUACCAAGGCGCUUGAGAGAACUCGGGUGAAGGAACUAGGCAAAAUGGUGCCGUAACUUCGGGAGAAGGCACGCUGAUAUGUAGGUGAAGCCCCUGCGGGUGGAGCUGAAAUCAGUCGAAGAUACCAGCUGGCUGCAACUGUUUAUUAAAAACACAGCACUGUGCAAACACGAAAGUGGACGUAUACGGUGUGACGCCUGCCCGGUGCCGGAAGGUUAAUUGAUGGGGUUAUCCGUAAGGAGAAGCUCUUGAUCGAAGCCCCGGUAAACGGCGGCCGUAACUAUAACGGUCCUAAGGUAGCGAAAUUCCUUGUCGGGUAAGUUCCGACCUGCACGAAUGGCGUAAUGAUGGCCAGGCUGUCUCCACCCGAGACUCAGUGAAAUUGAACUCGCUGUGAAGAUGCAGUGUACCCGCGGCAAGACGGAAAGACCCCGUGAACCUUUACUAUAGCUUGACACUGAACAUUGAGCCUUGAUGUGUAGGAUAGGUGGGAGGCUUUGAAGCGUGGACGCCAGUCUGCGUGGAGCCAACCUUGAAAUACCACCCUUUAAUGUUUGAUGUUCUAACGUUGGCCCCUUAUCGGGGUUGCGGACAGUGUCUGGUGGGUAGUUUGACUGGGGCGGUCUCCUCCCAAAGAGUAACGGAGGAGCACGAAGGUUAGCUAAUCCUGGUCGGACAUCAGGAGGUUAGUGCAAUGGCAUAAGCUAGCUUGACUGCGAGCGUGACGGCGCGAGCAGGUGCGAAAGCAGGUCAUAGUGAUCCGGUGGUUCUGAAUGGAAGGGCCAUCGCUCAACGGAUAAAAGGUACUCCGGGGAUAACAGGCUGAUACCGCCCAAGAGUUCAUAUCGACGGCGGUGUUUGGCACCUCGAUGUCGGCUCAUCACAUCCUGGGGCUGAAGUAGGUCCCAAGGGUAUGGCUGUUCGCCAUUUAAAGUGGUACGCGAGCUGGGUUUAGAACGUCGUGAGACAGUUCGGUCCCUAUCUGCCGUGGGCGCUGGAGAAUUGAGGGGGGCUGCUCCUAGUACGAGAGGACCGGAGUGGACGCAUCACUGGUGUUCGGGUUGUCAUGCCAAUGGCAUUGCCCGGUAGCUAAAUGCGGAAGAGAUAAGUGCUGAAAGCAUCUAAGCACGAAACUUGCCCCGAGAUGAGUUCUCCCUGAGACUUUAAGUCUCCUGAAGGAACGUUAAAGACGAUGACGUUGAUAGGUCGGGUGUGUAAGCGUAGCGAUACGUUGAGCUAACCGAUACUAAUGAACCGUGAGGCUUAACCU
RNAcentral lists this ribosomal RNA (2901 nucleotides) under Klebsiella aerogenes. RNAcentral describes it as "bacterial LSU rRNA". It matches the Rfam family "Bacterial large subunit ribosomal RNA". Lineage: Bacteria; Pseudomonadati; Pseudomonadota; Gammaproteobacteria; Enterobacterales; Enterobacteriaceae. The record is from RNAcentral.